GACGAACGCUGGCGGCGUGCUUAACACAUGCCAGUCGAACGGUGAACGAGGGAGCUUGCUCCCUCCGGAUUAGUGGCGAACGGGUGAGUAACACGUGAGCAAUCUGCCCCGAACUCUGGGAUAAGCGUUGGAAACGACGUCUAAUACCGGAUACGACGCGGGAGGGCAUGCUCUCCGCGUGGAAAGAACUUCGGCUCGGGAUGAGUUCGCGGCCUAUCAGCUUGUUGGUGAGGUGACGGCUCACCAAGGCGACGACGGGUAGCCGGCCUGAGAGGGUGACCGGCCACACUGGGACUGAGAGACGGCACAGACAGCUACGGGAGGCAGCAGUGGGGAAUAUUGAACAAUGGGCGCAAGCCUGAUGAAGCAACGCCGCGUGAGGGACGACGGCCUUCGGGUUGUAAACCUCUUUUAGCAGGGAAGAAGCGAAAGUGACGGUACCUGCAGAAAAAGCACCGGCUAACUACGUG
RNAcentral lists this ribosomal RNA (470 nucleotides) under uncultured bacterium. RNAcentral describes it as "partial 16S ribosomal RNA". It matches the Rfam family "Bacterial small subunit ribosomal RNA", at positions 28 to 507 of the family's 1533-position model. The record is from RNAcentral.